RNAcentral lists this ribosomal RNA (468 nucleotides) under uncultured bacterium. RNAcentral's name for it is "partial 16S ribosomal RNA". It matches the Rfam family "Bacterial small subunit ribosomal RNA", at positions 28 to 507 of the family's 1533-position model. The record is from RNAcentral.
GACGAACGCUGGCGGCGUGCUUAACACACGCAAGCCGAACGGAAAGGCCCUGCUUUUGUGGGGUGCUCGAGUGGCGAACGGGUGAGUAACACGUGAGUAACCUGCCCUUGACUUUGGGAUAACUUCAGGAAACUGGGGCUAAUACCGGAUAGGAGCUCCUGCUGCAUGGCGGGGGUUGGAAAGUUUCGGCGGUUGGGGAUGGACUCGCGGCUUAUCAGCUUGUUGGUGGGGUAGUGGCUUACCAAGGCUUUGACGGGUAGCCGGCCUGAGAGGGUGACCGGCCACAUUGGGACUGAGAUACGGCCCAGACUCCUACGGGAGGCAGCAGUGGGGAAUAUUGCACAAUGGGCGGAAGCCUGAUGCAGCAACGCCGCGUGCGGGAUGACGGCCUUCGGGUUGUAAACCGCUUUCGCCUGUGACGAAGCGUGAGUGACGGUAAUGGGUAAAGAAACACCGGCUAACUACGUG